Molecule: long non-coding RNA, 447 nt
Filed under: Lotus japonicus
Lineage: Eukaryota; Viridiplantae; Streptophyta; Magnoliopsida; Fabales; Fabaceae
Description: long non-coding RNA (LJAP_LNC000726)
Source: RNAcentral
CUGAGAAGGACAUAGCCAAAGCUAGAAUGGAUGUAGCUCGUGAGGUUAGGUUGGCAAAAGAGGCUGAAGCAGAAAUGGACCUACAUGUUUCAAAAGCAGGGGAGAGGGUUGAAAAAGAAAUUGCGAAGCAUACACCAUCUAACAAUCCAAAUGCUAAUAGUGAGGGCAUGAAUCCAGUGGUGGGUGAUCCUACAAUGGAAACAGCAAAUGGACCCACAUAUACGGCUACAUGAAAAUGUGGUUCAAACAUAUAUGGAGUAUAUAUCCAGCUAAUAGAAAGCUUUUGGUGUCUAGAAAAUAGAAAUCAAAUAAAAUUGAUUAGGGUGAUUUAUGGGAUUUUUUUUCUUUUGUGGAAAUAUUUCUAUUGUAUUAAUUCCAUUGUAUAUUUCUCAGGCAUUUCUCUUGAACUGUCUUAAAAUAAACUCUUGAUUUUGUAAAAUUGUUCAG